CUUUCACUUUGACCAGCCCUGCAGCGAGACACUGUCCUGAAGUGAACAAGUGAACCCGGAGAUUCCACACGUGUCAUGCACGAGGUGAAGAAGAGGAGAAGGGGACGAAGGUGACGUUCUCUCGUCUUCAUCUCUGAGGAGGAGGUUGGAAGAAACAGCCGAAACAUUAAAGUGACGCAGAUUUUCCAGAGGUAA
This is a long non-coding RNA of Limanda limanda (common dab), 195 nucleotides long. RefSeq lists it as uncharacterized. The transcript has 3 exons. Lineage: Eukaryota; Metazoa; Chordata; Actinopteri; Pleuronectiformes; Pleuronectidae. The record is from RefSeq and is a predicted model, not a curated record.